CGGGUUGUAAAGCACUUUCAGUCGUGAGGAAGGCGGGUACGUUAAUAGCGUAUUCGUUUGACGUUAGCGACAGAAGAAAGCACCGGCUAACUCCGUGCCAGCAGCCGCGGUAAUACGGAGGGUGCGAGCGUUAAUCGGAAUUACUGGGCGUAAAGCGCAUGCAGGUGGUUUGUUAAGUCAGAUGUGAAAGACCCGGGGCGUCAACCUCGGAAUAGCAUUUGAAACUAGGCAGACUAGAGUACUGUAGAGGGGGGUAGGAAUUUCAGGUGUAGCGGUGAAAUGCGUAGAGAUCUGAAGGAAUACCGGUGGCGAAGGCGCCCCCCUCGGACAGAUACUGACACUCAGAUGCGAAAGCGUGGGGAGCAAACAGGAUUAGAUACCCUGGUAG
This 388-nucleotide ribosomal RNA is filed under the name uncultured bacterium. Its description in RNAcentral is "bacterial SSU rRNA". It matches the Rfam family "Bacterial small subunit ribosomal RNA", at positions 419 to 793 of the family's 1533-position model. The record is from RNAcentral.